CCUACGGGAGGCAGCAGUGGGGAAUAUUGCGCAAUGGGGGCAACCCUGACGCAGCCAUGCCGCGUGAAUGAAGAAGGCCUUCGGGUUGUAAAGUUCUUUCGGUGACGAGGAAGGCGUGAUGUUUAAUAGGCAUCACGAUUGACGUUAAUCACAGAAGAAGCACCGGCUAACUCCGUGCCAGCAGCCGCGGUAAUACGGAGGGUGCGAGCGUUAAUCGGAAUAACUGGGCGUAAAGGGCACGCAGGCGGCUAUUUAAGUGAGGUGUGAAAGCCCCGGGCUUAACCUGGGAAUUGCAUUUCAGACUGGGUAGCUAGAGUACUUUAGGGAGGGGUAGAAUUCCAUGUGUAGCGGUGAAAUGCGUAGAGAUGUGGAGGAAUACCGAAGGCGAAGGCAGCCCCUUGGUAAUGUACUGACGCUCAUGUGCGAAAGCGUGGGGAGCAAACAGGAUUAGAUACCCGAGUAGUC
This 465-nucleotide ribosomal RNA is filed under the name uncultured Aggregatibacter sp. RNAcentral describes it as "bacterial SSU rRNA". It matches the Rfam family "Bacterial small subunit ribosomal RNA", at positions 338 to 795 of the family's 1533-position model. Lineage: Bacteria; Pseudomonadati; Pseudomonadota; Gammaproteobacteria; Pasteurellales; Pasteurellaceae. The record is from RNAcentral.